GAAAGAAAGGAUUUAUUCGGUAAAAGAUGGGCCCGCAUCUGAUUAGCUAGUUGGUGAGAUAAUAGCCCACCAAGGCAACGAUCAGUAGCCGACCUGAGAGGGUGACCGGCCACAUUGGGACUGAGACACGGCCCAAACUCCUACGGGAGGCAGCAGUGGGGAAUAUUGCACAAUGGGGGAAACCCUGAUGCAGCAACGCCGCGUGAAGGAAGACGGUUUUCGGAUUGUAAACUUCUAUCAAUAGGGAAGAAAGGAAUGACGGUACCUAAAUAAGAAGCCCCGGCUAACUACGUGCCAGCAGCCGCGGUAAUACGUAGGGGGCAAGCGUUAUCCGGAAUUACUGGGUGUAAAGGGAGAGUAGGCGGCAAGGUAAGCGAUAUGUGAAAGCCUUAGGCUUAACCUGAGGAUAGCAUAACGAACUAUCUAGCUAGAGUACAGGAGAGGAAAGCGGAAUUCUUAGUGUAGCGGUGAAAUGCGUAGAUAUUAGGAAGAACACCAGUGGCGAAGGCGGCUUUCUGGACUGAAACUGACGCUGAGGCUCGAAAGCGUGGGGAGCGAACAGGAUUAGAUACCCUGGUAGUCCACGCUGUAAACGAUGAGUGCUAGGUGUCGGGGAGGAAUCCUCG
RNAcentral lists this ribosomal RNA (626 nucleotides) under uncultured bacterium. RNAcentral's name for it is "bacterial SSU rRNA". It matches the Rfam family "Bacterial small subunit ribosomal RNA", at positions 198 to 842 of the family's 1533-position model. The record is from RNAcentral.